GCCACUGUCCCCUUCCAAUAGGCACACGGGACAGGGAAAUAAGAGGGGCUGAUUCUCACGUGGUCUCUAUUCCUGCCCCUCCCUCUCCCUCAGCCUUCUCCUCCUCACUCACAUCCCCUUUCACGCAGUGUGCACUCCUUUCCCCUUCCCGGAGCGACCGGGAAGAGCCGCGUGGAUGCACUCCCAGAUUUCAGCAUGUUCGCUGCCGAUCUGUACACUUCUCUUUUCUAGUAUCAAAGACGGUCAGACUCGAUUCAUCCUAAAGUUCCUUUGAGAAUACAGAAUUAAAAGGAAACGGAAUGUCCAAAGCAACCGCCCGUAGCCAAAUGUAGACAUCAGUCAAAGUUCGCUGAACUGAGAGCAAGUCCCUCCCCUCCUGCUGAUCAGAAGAGAGAUCCACAGAUCACACAGAAUCUGUCUGGAACUAUUCUGAAUGACUAAUGCUGAACUCUUUCCAGGAAGAUGGAACCAGACUCAGAAAAGGGACACGUGACCCUUAGGUUAAUCAUGCUAGCUUCAUAAAGAGAGGACAGAACAUAGUAGCAGGAGAAAUACGCUUUCUGCGUAUAAAGCAGAUUAGCUGGCUGGGCGUGGUGGUUCACGCCUGUAAUCCCGGCACUUUGGGAGGGCGAGGUGGACACAUCACAAGGUCAGUAUACCGAGACCAUCCUGGCUAACAUGGUGAAACCCUGUCUCUACUAAAAAUACAAAAAUUAGCAGGCGUGGUGGCGUGCGCCUGUAAUCCCAGCAACUCCGAGCGGCUGAGGCAGGAGAAUCACAACUGGACGUUGCAAUGAGCCGAAAACGCGGAAUUGCACUCCAGCCUGAGCGACAGAGCAAGACUCCGUAUCAAAAAAAAAAAAAAGAGGGGGGCCGGGGGCGGUGGCUCAUGCCUGUAAUCCCGGCACUUUGGAAGGCUCCGGCGGGAGGAUCACGAGGUCAAGAGAUCGAGACCAUCCUGGCCAACAUGGUGAAACGCCCAUCUCUACUAAAAAAUACAAAAAUUAGCUGGGCGCGGUGGCGCACACCUAGUCCCAGCUACUCCGGAGGCUGAGGCAGGAGAAUUGCUUGAACCCGGGAGGCGGACGUUGCAGUGAGCCGAGAUCACGCCACUGCACUCCAGCCUGGCGCCUGGCGACAGAGCGAGACUCUGUCUAAAUUUAAAAAAAAAAAAAGAAAUGAAGAUUAGCUGUCUUCUGGAAAAUAUCAUUGCUUUCCUUAGCAGGUACCCUUGCCUCUCGGGUAGCAGCUGAGCUUCGGCUCAGAACUGAGGGCAUUCUAUCCUCUAGCAACUGAGCCAGUACUUCCACUUUCCUUCCUUAGAAGCCUCCAUUACCACCCACCUCAUCAGUCCCAACACUCCCUGUAAUGGUCUUUAUGUUUGUGUCUCCCCAAAAUUUAUAUAUUGAAACCCUGAUCCCAACGUGAUGAUAUUUAGGAUGGGAUCUCUGGGAGGUCAUUAGGUCAUGGAGUUUAGAAUACAAAUAAAUGGGAUUGGUGACUCUUUAUCCACCAUGUGAGGAUACAAGAAAACAGCCAUCUGCAAUCCCAAGGAAGCCCCUCAUCUUCAGAAGCAGACCAUGCUGGCAACCUGAUCUUGGACUUCCAUUCUCUAGAACUGUGAGAAAUAAUGUUUGUUGUUUAAGCCACCCAGUAAUUUGUUACAGCAAUCUGAACUAAAACAUUUUCUUUUUAUGACAAAUAUUUUGAUGCUCCUUUUAUUUUCCUGAAGCAUAAUUCAUAAAGAAUGUAACUUACCUCCACACACAAUUUUAAACAAAUAUUAAAAAACAAAAAAUAGAGACAGUGUCUUGCUAUGUUGCCAAGGCUGGUCUCAGCCUCCAGGGCUCAAACAAUCCUCCUACCUUGGCCUCUCAAAGUGCUGGGAUUACAGGCAUGAGCCACCGUGCCUGGCCUAAAAGAUUAAUAAAAUCUUUUAAAGAAAUGUAAAGGAGUCUACAGCCAUACCACCCUCAAUGUGUCUGAUCUCGGAAGCUAAGUGGGGUCAGGCCUGGUUAGUACUUGGAUGGGAGAUAAGAGGAAUAGUAGAAGGACUAUGACUUAUAAUUAAAUACUAUGUGUUUAGAUAUGUAAAUGCUUGUGUAUAACAUUCAAGAAGACACAAUGUGAUACUCAGAUAUUUGCAUCUCUCUAUAAAAUCACCUUGAAUAUAACAGCUACAAAUGCAGAAUGAUACAGACAUAAUGGUGAUUCAAAUACCAUGAACAGAAUUACUGAUGUGGUAUGAUUUUCCAAAAUAAUAAAAAACUUU
This is a long non-coding RNA of Callithrix jacchus (white-tufted-ear marmoset), 2272 nucleotides long. RefSeq lists it as uncharacterized. NCBI's taxonomy places the organism in Eukaryota, Metazoa, Chordata, Mammalia, Primates, Cebidae. The record is from RefSeq and is a predicted model, not a curated record.